GCUGCCCUGCACUCUGGGACAAGCCCUGGAAACGGGGUCUAAUACCGGAUAUGACCGUCUUGGGCAUCCUUGACGGUGUAAAGCUCCGGCGGUGCAGGAUGAGCCCGCGGCCUAUCAGCUUGUUGGUGAGGUAGUGGCUCACCAAGGCGACGACGGGUAGCCGGCCUGAGAGGGCGACCGGCCACACUGGGACUGAGACACGGCCAGACUCCUACGGGAGGCAGCAGUGGGGGAAUAUUGCACAAUGGGCGGAAGCCUGAUGCAGCGACGCCGCGUGAGGGACGACGGCCUUCGGGUUGUAAACCUCUUUCAGCAGGGAAGAAGCGCAAGUGACGGUACCUGCAGAAGAAGCGCCGGCUAUCUACGUGCCAGCAGCCGCGGUAAUCGUAGGGCGCAAGCGUUGUCCGGAAUUAUUGGGCGUAAAGAGCUCGUAGGCGGCUUGUCGCGUCGGUUGUGAAAGCCCGGGGCUUAACCGCGGGUCUGCAGUCGAUACGGGCAGGCUAGAGUUCGGUAGGGGAGAUCGGAAUUCCUGGUGUAGCGGUGAAAUGCGCAGAUAUCAGGAGGAACACCGGUGCGAAGGCGGAUCUCUGGGCCGAUACUGACGCUGAGGAGCGAAAGCGUGGGGAGCGAACAGGAUUAGAUACCCUGGUAGUCCACGCCGUAAACGGUGGGCACUAGGUGUGGGCAACAUUCCACGUUGUCCGUGCCGCAGCUAACGCAUUAAGUGCG
RNAcentral lists this ribosomal RNA (729 nucleotides) under Streptomyces carpinensis. RNAcentral describes it as "bacterial SSU rRNA". It matches the Rfam family "Bacterial small subunit ribosomal RNA", at positions 125 to 868 of the family's 1533-position model. The record is from RNAcentral. Lineage: Bacteria; Bacillati; Actinomycetota; Actinomycetes; Kitasatosporales; Streptomycetaceae.